GGGAUUAACCUAGACGCGAUUCACCCAUCUCCUCCCAAUUCCCAGCAGCCGCCGCCGCCACCGCCACCACAUCCUCUCUCCUCCCCUGACGUCUCCUCUUUCCCCUCCUCUCCUCGCAACGGCCUCCUCCUUCCUGCACCGCCUCUUCCUCUCUUCCUUGCUGAUGGCGCCUCCCGCCGGUGGAUGCCUCCUGUCUUGCCCUUUUCGUGGGGAGGUGGAGAUGGGAAGAUGGCGUUGGAGGAGGAAAACAAGAUCCAGGCAGUGGAAAGAUGGCGUUGGAGGAGGGAGCACGGGUGGCCGCCGCAGCUGAAGCACGGGUGGCCUGGUUGUGGCGGAGCAUGGCGGGAGUCCGGGCGGCGUCGUGGUGGUGGUCAAGAGGAGAAGCACGGGUGGCCGCCGCAGCUGAGCUUCUAUGUAACAUAGUUCCGAUGAAUCCUCUGCCGCAUCUGGCCUCUACAGAUUCGUUUUCGUAUCUACCUAUAAGGCGUUCGAUGAAAAUCCAAGCUGCUGCAGUGGCAGAUUACGCCGUCCGCUUGCAUGCUGAGCCAUGUUGGGCUCUCCUGUUCUUUUUUGUUGGCUUGACGUACGCACUGGCAACCUCCUGCGUGAAGGAUUCAGCAUGCCUCUAUUUGAGAGAAAAGAUAUGAAGAAGCGGAUUUUCAGAGUAUCUCAGGCACACAAGCUAAAGGUUCACCAAGUUCAGGGAAAGAAAAGUUUCCCUAGACACGUGGCGGCGGCGGUCAAGACAAGAGCGGCGCUGUGAGCGACGGCCCUCGAUCGUCUUCCUUGUGGAAUCAGGUACGCAUCGUCCAUCGUGGCCCAUCGUGGGUGUUGCCAGGCGACCGGAGGCGGCUACAGCAGGCCAGUGCCCGUGAUCAAGACAGACACCGGGAAGGCUGUCGGUAUGUAGUAUGAUCCUCAUCUCCUCCAACUUACGUUUUGGUAGCACGUCUCCAUCGUUGUCUACAGUUGUGCACUCGAUUCAAAUGAUUAUUCUCCGUUCUUUGCCUCAGAACUACAUAUGAGAGGUACAAAGGGUUGGCCAAGAUACUCAAUGAAGCUAUUCGAUUUAAGUAGUAAGGGUACCGGCGCCCAAAUAAAUUCAGGAGCACUGCAAAAUUCAAGUUGAUGGCUGGUGUGCCUUGUUGUUUUACAGCAUGAUAGUUGUUGAAAGUAUGUUCUAGAAUGCAGUGCCAUCGAUAGGUUCUGCUGGUUUCUACCUCCAUGCUGCUUAAACCAAUUACCUCCUCAAUUCUACGCCAUGGGCAGAUGAUUGUGUGCAAGGAAGGAAAGAUGCAAACGAUUUGGGUUCCCAGUUUGUACAGCCCCUGAGGAUUGGAAGGUCGUGAUGUUGUCUACUUGUCUCUUUCAUUCCGUUACAACCUGCUGUUCUUGCUCAGUUGUGUCCAUCAAGGAUAUGUUCUUUGAAUUUAGAUGAUGCACGGAUAAAUAACUCUUAUGUGACAAUGCAAAUGAAGGGUGCAGUGGCUCAGCCCUUUAGAUUGUUGGCGAGAAUAUUGGAGUAUAAAUAAAUACAAGUUGUUAACAACAACAUAAAUUUUUGGCUCUCUAUAUCCUCAUGAACGAGGGUUUGUAUAAUUUUGGGCAUUCCUUUGCCUGUAGCAAUAGCUAUUGUAUUUAGUGGCAAUCGUUAUAAAAUGGGAGCAUAAAUAAAUAACAAUGGAAUUUUAUUAGCUCUCUAUGUCCUUACGAAUGAGGGAUUGCAUGAAUUUGCGAUUUCUUUUUCCUGUAGCGAAUAGCUGUUGUAUUUAGACACAAUCGAUAUAAAAAGAACAUUCAAUUUUAUUCAUUGCACUCAACCCCUUCUGCAAUCUUUAGAAGCAAAAAUGCAGCCUGUAGCUAAACGGGGGAAAUUGGAUAAAGAGGCAGGGCCGCAGGAGCAGAACGGUCCAGCCGAUGAAACCAAUGUGGACGAAGAUUAACUUCUCUGAUCUUGUGGUAGGCUGAACCCGAAUCAAAUUAAUGGGUGGACUUUCUUGCUAUCCUUUGUCCUGAAACUAUAACAUAAUCACUUAAGCUGACAUUUUGGUAGUUGUCUGAACCAUGAAUCCAUGAUGCUAAGCUGAAUAAUUCCUGGAGCAUCUGUCGCGCGUGGUGCUUCUACGUUGCACCAUUGUCUGGUGUUUGCGCUUCUACAAUUUUUUUUACCAUACACAUCUGCUCCAGUAAUGAAUAUGAGCCUCUUGUACUAAGAUUUUUUUUCCACCAUACUCAUAUAUUUCUACCUGGAUUGUGUGCAAAAACUCAAUUUCUAUCAAGAAAAUCAUUGACAUUUGGAGAGCUAAAAAUAGUUCAGGCCCUCGAGGUGCAUUCCCUGGGAUUGUUGUUGUGCAGGUGUAGCAGCCAGUGGUUCUUUGCAUCAUUCUUCAAAAAGAAUGUGUGUGGCACGAACCGUGUAAAUAAUAAUUGUAGAAUGAAGACACCACUACUUAAACGAUGAAACCAUGUUUAAUACUGAUGGGACAUGAACCUAAUACCACUGCCUUCAUGUCUUGAUAUUUCUUGCUGGUAGAAGAUACAAGACUCAGCCAAAGGUUAAUAGGCGAGCUAUAUCAAUGAUGCAUAUCUGCUACUAUAACAUGCUUUAUAAAGCCAAUGUAAGCUAUCAUCAAGUGAUCUUAUAACUUUCUUUCCUUUGAGCUAUAAUGCCGCCAUGUAAAAAAAUAUGUAACGCUAUGUGUACCUAAGUAUCUAUUAAAUUGGUUCCAAAUUACUCUCA
Molecule: long non-coding RNA, 2740 nt
Organism: Triticum urartu
Lineage: Eukaryota; Viridiplantae; Streptophyta; Magnoliopsida; Poales; Poaceae
Source: RefSeq, a predicted model, not a curated record